RNAcentral lists this long non-coding RNA (313 nucleotides) under Salvia miltiorrhiza (redroot sage). RNAcentral's name for it is "long non-coding RNA (SMIL_LNC010046)". Lineage: Eukaryota; Viridiplantae; Streptophyta; Magnoliopsida; Lamiales; Lamiaceae. The record is from RNAcentral.
AGCAACGGUCAAGGAUUUUAACAAGAAUUUUAAAGGUCAAGGGAAAAAAUGCGUCUUCGGGGAAACUAUAUGAAUUUUGGCGCUAUUUCCUAUUUGCCCAUUAAAUUUUUUAAAAAAUCCCUCUCCUCUCUUAUCUUUUUGUUUUGAAUAAAUCUAUUUUAUAAUUCUUUUUUAUUUUUAUUUUUAUUUUUAACUUUUUUUGCCUCUUCAUAAUGUCAAUAUUAUUAUUGUGAAUUCUUCUUUAUUAUUUUUAUUUUUUUAAUAUUCAACUCACAUAUAUUCAGUUAAAUGAAGCUAAUUUUAAAGGCCAUGU